GUGGGGAAUCUUCCGCAAUGGACGAAAGUCUGACGGAGCAACGCCGCGUGAGUGAUGAAGGUCUUCGGAUUGUAAAGCUCUGUUAAUCGGGACGAAAGAGCCUAGUGUGAAUAAUGCUAGGAAGUGACGGUACCGGAAUAGAAAGCCACGGCUAACUACGUGCCAGCAGCCGCGGUAAUACGUAGGUGGCAAGCGUUGUCCGGAAUUAUUGGGCGUAAAGCGCGCGCAGGCGGAUCUGCCAGUCUGUCUUAAAAGUUCGGGGCUUAACCCCGUGAUGGGAUGGAAACUACAGAUCUAGAGUAUCGGAGAGGAAAGUGGAAUUCCUAGUGUAGCGGUGAAAUGCGUAGAUAUUAGGAAGAACACCAGUGGCGAAGGCGACUUUCUGGACGAAAACUGGCGCUGAGGCGCGAAAGCCAGGGGAGCGAACGGGAUUAGAAACCCGGGUAGUCC
Molecule: ribosomal RNA, 450 nt
Filed under: uncultured bacterium
Lineage: Bacteria
Description: partial 16S ribosomal RNA
Rfam family: Bacterial small subunit ribosomal RNA
Source: RNAcentral